RNAcentral lists this long non-coding RNA (230 nucleotides) under Physcomitrium patens. RNAcentral describes it as "long non-coding RNA (PPAT_LNC006970)". Lineage: Eukaryota; Viridiplantae; Streptophyta; Bryopsida; Funariales; Funariaceae. The record is from RNAcentral.
AUAUAUAUAUAUAUAUAUAUAUAAUAUUACACUGGUAAAUAAUUCAAUGCACACUGAUUUUUAUUUAAAAACAUAUUUCUAAAAUACAAGAGCUUAGAAUUGGAAAUACAAACUCUAGUAGCCAGAUUAUUCUAUAACUCAAAUCCACACAACUUAUAAGACUACAACACUAUUUACACCACUAUCAAGAGUAGACGAUUUAUGAUAUAUAUAUAUAUAUAUAUAUAUAU